UCCCCUCCCCCUCUUCCUCCUCCUGGUAGCUCUUUUUUUUUCCUCCGAAACCCACUCUAAUUGAGGCGCUGGGAUUCCUCACGUGAGACGUUGAUUUGUAGUUUGAACACGUGGCUCAUUCAAAAAGCCGGACACUCGGAGCGGAUUUUUUCCGCCUCCUGCGUCUUCCUCCCUCCACCCCUUUCUCCCCUCCUCUCCUGCCAGUCACCCUUCAGGGUUUUUUAUGGGGAGGCGGCGCCUGCCCUAACGUAGUGUGAUAUUUUCACUGUCCGCUGGCCGAUGCCAGAGGGGCUGGGGAGGAAGAGACAAAAAGUAUUUUCCCCCUCCCCUCUUCGUCUCCUUUUCCUCGCUAAUCCCGCCUCCUCCUCCGAGUUAGGAAGACUCGUUGAUGCGUUUGGGUUGUAGCAAGGCUUUUUCCUUCUUUUUUUUUUUUUUUUUUUUUUUAAUACCUAGGAAAGGAAAAACAGGAACCCUCGGAUCUGAUUUUUCGCUCCUCGUUCUUGUUCUUGGUUCUUACUGUGUUCGUGUAUUUUAACGGCGAGAAGAGGAGGGGAACAAAACCCCCAGGAUCCAUCCGUCUCUGUGGGUGGUUUUAAUUUUUCGUUUCUCUCUUAAUUUUUUUUAAACAACCACUCUUUCACAAUGAACAAACUGUAUAUUGGAAACCUCAGCGAGAACGCCGUCCCCUCGGACCUGGAAAGUAUCUUCAAGGACGCCAAGAUCCCAGUGUCGGGACCGUUCCUGGUGAAGACUGGCUACGCGUUCGUGGACUGUCCGGACGAGAGCUGGGCCCUCAAGGCCAUCGAGGCGUUUUCAGGUAAAGUGGAACUGCACGGGAAACUAAUAGAAGUUGAGCACUCGGUCCCCAAAAGGCAGAGGAUUCGGAAACUUCAGAUACGAAAUAUCCCGCCUCACUUACAGUGGGAGGUGCUGGAUGGUUUACUAGUCCAGUAUGGAGUGGUGGAAAGCUGUGAGCAAGUGAACACGGACUUGGAAACCGCAGUCGUAAAUGUAACCUAUUCCAGUAAGGAGCAAGCUAGACAAGCUUUAGACAAACUGAAUGGAUACCAGCUGGAGAGCUUCACGUUGAAAGUGGCCUACAUCCCUGACGAGAUGGCCGCCCAGCACAACCCCUCGCAGCAGCCCCGGGGGCGCCGUGGGUUUGCGCAGAGGGGCUCAUCGAGGCAGGGGUCUCCAGGAUCAGGGGCCAAGCAGAAACCAUGUGACUUGCCUCUACGCCUACUGGUUCCCACCCAAUUUGUUGGAGCCAUUAUAGGAAAAGAAGGUGCCACCAUUCGGAACAUUACCAAACAGACUCAGUCUAAAAUUGAUGUCCAUCGUAAGGAGAAUGCAGGUGCUGCUGAGAAGUCAAUAACUAUUCUCUCCACCCCCGAGGGCACCUCUGCGGCUUGUAAAUCAAUUUUGGAGAUUAUGCAUAAAGAAGCUCAAGAUAUAAAAUUCACAGAAGAGAUUCCCUUGAAGAUUUUAGCCCAUAAUAACUUUGUAGGACGUCUUAUUGGUAAGGAAGGAAGAAACCUUAAAAAAAUUGAGCAAGACACAGAUACUAAAAUCACAAUAUCUCCAUUGCAGGAACUGACACUGUACAAUCCAGAGCGCACCAUUACAGUCAAAGGCAAUGUGGAAACAUGUGCCAAAGCGGAGGAAGAGAUCAUGAAGAAAAUCAGGGAGUCUUAUGAAAAUGAUAUUGCUUCUAUGAAUCUUCAAGCACAUUUAAUUCCUGGAUUAAAUCUGAAUGCCUUGGGUCUGUUCCCACCCACUUCAGGGAUGCCACCUCCCACCUCAGGGCCCCCUUCAGCUAUGACUCCUCCUUACCCACAGUUUGAGCAAUCAGAGACGGAGACGGUUCACCUGUUUAUCCCAGCCCUCUCUGUGGGUGCCAUCAUCGGCAAGCAGGGGCAGCAUAUCAAACAGCUUUCCCGCUUUGCAGGCGCUUCUAUUAAGAUUGCCCCAGCUGAAGCGCCAGAUGCCAAAGUGAGGAUGGUGAUUAUCACCGGGCCACCAGAGGCUCAGUUCAAGGCUCAGGGAAGAAUUUAUGGAAAAAUUAAAGAAGAAAACUUUGUUAGUCCUAAAGAAGAGGUGAAACUUGAAGCUCACAUCAGAGUGCCAUCCUUUGCUGCUGGCAGAGUUAUUGGAAAAGGAGGCAAAACGGCAAGUACUUCAGGAAAACCUGUGCAGUGGUAUGAAAGGGAAAGCGUUGAAAGGUACUUAGGAGUUCCAAUCCCUGAAUUUUGGCUAACUUAUAGAAAGCAGGACUGUCUGGGCCAAGGUUUGGAGACGACUGCCUUUUGUUGGUAUCAGCUACUAGUAAAGCAGUGCCUCUCUCUCACACCACUCUGUGUGGAGAGGAUGGUCUCGUAUUUGUAUGGGGCAUUUUUCUGUUGACAUGCGUCAGUUUUUAAUUUUUAUCCUGUAAGCAUUUAAUGACGUGAAAACUUAAAAAAAAAUUGUCUGCCUUUAUAACUUUUAUCUAACUGAAAAAAGCAAAUGGUUUCCAGUUUCUCUUUAAUACACAGAACUUCUAAGGUUCAAAGCUAUCUACAAUUUUGAAGUGACUGAAAGUGUACAUUUUGUAAUUAGACUUUCAGGGUUUGAAUCUGGUUUUGUCAUAUGUAAUUUGGAGCAAGUCAGUUUUUUUGCUUUAGUUUUAAUUAUCUUGAAUGGGGACUAAUAACCUGAUAGAAUUAUUAGCAUAUUAGAUGAGACUUGUAAGCCAUAGCUCAGUAUUUUGGCACACAGUUAAGUGCUCAGGAAAUGGUUUUUAAAAAAACCCAAACAACUCAACUGAACAUGAUUUGUAUUUAUCUUUUUCAGGUGAAUGAGCUCCAGAAUCUGUCAAGUGCAGAAGUUGUUGUCCCUCGUGACCAGACACCUGAUGAGAAUGACCAAGUAGUCGUCAAAAUAACUGGUCACUUCUAUGCUUGCCAGGUUGCUCAGAGGAAAAUUCAGGAAAUUCUGACUCAGGUAAAGCAGCAUCAACAGCAGAAAGCUCUGCAAAGUGGACCACCUCAGUCAAGACGGAAGUGAAGGCUCAGGAAACAGCCCACCACAGAGGCAGAUGCCAAACCAAAGACAGAUUGCUUAACCAACAGAUGGGCGCUGAACCCCUAUCCAGAAUCACAUGCACAAGUUUUUACCUAGCCAGUUGUUUCUGAGGACCAGGCAACUUUCAAGCUCCUGUCUCUGUGAGAAUGUAUACUUUAUGCUCUCUGAAAUGUAUGACACCCAGCUUUAAAAAAAAAGGGGGGGGAGGGAAAAAGAGGAGCUAUGCACUUCCCUUUUGUUGUUUUCUCAAUAUAACAAAUAUCCUAAUUUUUCUUAAUUUUCAUCCCCCCCAUGAUGCCAGAAAUUGGCUUAAUGGUGCAUUAACUAAAUUCACCCAGAAAAUAAAUAAAAAUAGACUGCUCCUAAGUCCAGUUGUUAAAAUUGGAUCAGAAUAGAGUUAUUACACGAAUGUAAAUGUUAAGCUAUUAGCCUAGAAAAACUGUUCUCAGUUUUAUUUUUAUCUAAAAACACUAACACGAAUAACCUAAGGGAAGUGCUGAACGGUGUUGGCAGGGGUAUUAAACGUGCAUUUUUACUCAACUACCUCAGGUAUCAGUAAUGCAAAAUUGUUUUGUUUUUUUCUGAAAAGUUUAUAUACUUUAUAAAGAUAAGUCCAAUUGUUUUUUUAAAAAUAAAAUUUAAUUAGCUAACAGGCAAAUAAGAAAAAAAUUUACUUCUGGCUGGUGACAGUAAAGCUGGAAAUUUCAGGUUUUUUGAGGCUUUUGACAAAGUUACUAGUUGCAAAAUCCAGUACGUGUUCAGUGAUAUGGAGCAGUGCCUAUAUUUGGAGAGCAGCAAUACUGUUUAUUUCUUUGUUCAUGGUAGGAAAGUUUUUGAUGGUACUAACAGAGCAAAGUGGUUGCAGGAGGUUUGGGAAUGGCUAGUUUUAAAUGGCUUCAGGAGACUUCAGUUUUUUUGUUUGGCUACGUGACUGAAUGCAUAAAUGCUUUAUGCUUUUGACUAUCACUACCUAAAGAAGGUGUACCUAUGAAGAGAUGCAGCCCCUGUGGACUUGAAACUGAUUGGCAAGAAGAAAGCUUCGGCUUGCCUUACAGGAUGCUUGGUUUGCCAAUACACUUGAGACCAGGUGCUCUACGCUUGGAGGAGACCCCCAAAAGAAUUGCUUUGUGAAGACCAAUGGGGGCAGUCAAAUGGUGUGACAGUGUUACAAGGCAAUAAAAAGGCUACAUCUCCAUGUGCCACCAGGCACUGUCAUGAGCCUCACUAAGCUAUUUUGAAGAUUUUUAAGCAAUGAUAAGAAAGAUGAAAGGCCACCUAAAAUAUUACAUAAAAUGCAGCAGGAUUUCUGUAUUCUCUGCAAUCAGCUACUUGAAAAUAAGUCAAAAGGUAGAAAAAUACAAAAAGCAACUUUUAGACUAUAAUUUGAAUGACUGUGAUAAAAUAUUUGACCUUUGACACUGAACUCAUUUGUCCAUUCCUUAACUUGACGGCAAAGCCUGGUGUGUACAAUUAUGUGGAAUGGGUGGUCUCCAUGGCUGCUCUCAGAAUUGUUUGUGUUGCUUUUGUGCAGUAAAAGAUCACAGUCAUCAUACAGACAGCCCUUUAAAGGGCAUAUAUAUACCACCCUUUAAAAAAUCAUUUUGCUUCAUUUGUAUUUCAAGAUGAAUUUCUACACAGACAAGUUUUUCUAAAGAUCACGUAUCAAUUAGACAUUUUGAAAAUGACCUGAAAUGUUUUCCUAAAUGUUUUCAGAAAACCAGUUUAUUUUGUAGUUUUAGCCAAAAAGUGCCCUAUUUGUCAUUGAAUUCAUCUAGCACUCGUAAUUUUUUUUUUCCCAUACAAUGAAUGAACUGCUAAAUAAAUGUAAUUUGGACUGGCUUUCUGAUAUGGAUUUCAGGUGACGUAUGCUUAAGGCCAGAGCUCUUUCUCAGUAUUUGAUUUUUCCAUUUUUUAAAAAAUAGGUGCUACAUUUAUAUCUGCCUGUUUAAACUGUCAUAUUUCAUUUCUAGCCUUCUAGUGUGGCAAAAUCAUGUUUAACUUUCAAUUAAGCAUUGGUAAUGGAGUAUCUGGUAAUACUAGGAAAUAAUUCUGUAAUUGAGUUUUGUACUCAGCGCAUAUGGAUCAUUCCUCAUCUGUAAUAUGCCCCAGUUGCAGCUUCAUUUUCCAGAUACCUUGAUGCAGAAUAAAGUGUUUCAUCAUUAGGUGCAGGCUGGUGUGUAAUAUGUUUUAUUUUUGCCUUUUUGAAUAAAUGUGAAUGUCCAAACUA
Sus scrofa (pig) is the source of this 5290-nucleotide non-coding RNA. The record is from RefSeq and is a predicted model, not a curated record. NCBI's taxonomy places the organism in Eukaryota, Metazoa, Chordata, Mammalia, Artiodactyla, Suidae.